Molecule: unclassified non-coding RNA, 389 nt
Filed under: Hevea brasiliensis (rubber tree)
Lineage: Eukaryota; Viridiplantae; Streptophyta; Magnoliopsida; Malpighiales; Euphorbiaceae
Source: RNAcentral
CGGCCGCACGGAGCGGGAUAUAAGGGCAACAAGUAGAUCAUUUCACUCAGAGGCGGAGCCGUACUAACACUCUCGCAAAGUCGUAAUUCGAUAAAUAGUUUCACACUUCUAAUUAGGGACUCAAAAUUCCUGCAGAGAUCCCAACAACAUGAAGUUUGAUGAAGCAGAAUAUUCGCCUUCCACAGAGGAGCCUUAUAGCUCCAUGGACUCACUCGCCACCACUAGAAAGAAGAAGAACAAGAAUAAGAGGAGGUUCAGUGAUGAACAGAUUAAAUCAUUGGAGUCCAUGUUUGAAAAUGAAUCAAGGCUUGAGCCUCGAAAGAAACUGCAGCUUGCUAAAGAACUUGGUUUGCAGCCGCGACAGGUUGCAAUAUGGUUUCAGAAUAAGA